CAGGCUUGGAUGGGCUUAAUCCCCAAAUUUUUUCCUCCAAAAAUAUUUGUAAAGAAAUCAAAAUACAAGAUGAAAAUUUCAACACAAAAGAAAAACUAAAAUAUAACUCUUUUAAAAUGUGGAGAAGGAACUAAAUGAUUGAUCUUUCAAAGCUUAAUCUUCUCUUCUUUGAAGUUUGAGAAGAUGUAGAAAUGAUGAAGAUGAAUACUCUUAAAAGUCUACUGAAAUCUGUGCUCAAAUUCCUUUCUUUUUUCUUUCUUUUUGGAUAUUCAAUGUUCCUCACAAAAGUAAAUGAUUCUCUCUUUAAAUCUACUUUAUCUUCCUUCCCAAAUGAUUCUCUAGCUAUUUAUAAUCUUGAAAGAGGCUAGAGAAUGAGUUUUGACCAUUGGAGUCUUUAAAAUAGCUGUUAGGGAUAAAAACUAGCUGUUGAGUAAUUAGAGGGCAAAAAGCUGCAGUUCUAAAAAAUUAGUCGUUACAGUCACUGGGUCAACUCAACUUUUCUUUGAAUCAGCUCAGUUACUAUUCCCUAUAGCCACUGGAUCGACUCAACUUUUCUCUAGAUCAACUCAAUUACUAUUAUCAGAAAAUUCAGCCUUCUAUCUUUUGCUGUCUUCUGAGACUGGGUCGACUCAGACUUCCACUAGAUUGACUCAGCUAGCAUGCUAAGUAUGCCAACAUGCUGGAGUUGACUCAAAACCUUCCAAAGUCUACUCAAAAUCUUCUAAUAUUAUUUUUCUUCAAUUUUUGACCUUUCAAACUUAAAUUUUUUGACCCCGAUCUUAUCUAAAUAUAUUUGCUUCCUUCAAUUUUAUUUUUUUUUCUUCCAAUAUUACUUUCUUCAUACCAAGCCAUCCAAACUUAUAUAAUUUUUUUUUUAAAUGCUUUAGCAUGGUAUCUUGAGAGGAUUUAUCUUUAAGAUAAAUUCUUCAUUUUGAAUGCUUGAAAAAUCCUACAUCCAAUCUUGAAAUACAUGAUUAGAAUCAUAAUUACUCAAAGUUUGGCAAUCAUCAAAAUUAAUCAUGGGAUCAACAAUCUCUCCCUUUUUUAUGAUGAUAAAAUUUUGAGUAUAUACAUAAAAAUAAAUAUAAUAUAUUUUAAUUAAUUUGCUAAUAUAAACAUGAAGUAAUAGAAUAAACAUAUAUGAGUAUAG
Molecule: long non-coding RNA, 1150 nt
Filed under: Elaeis guineensis (African oil palm)
Lineage: Eukaryota; Viridiplantae; Streptophyta; Magnoliopsida; Arecales; Arecaceae
Description: long non-coding RNA (EGUI_LNC072691)
Source: RNAcentral